This 256-nucleotide ribosomal RNA is filed under the name uncultured bacterium. RNAcentral's name for it is "partial 16S ribosomal RNA". It matches the Rfam family "Bacterial small subunit ribosomal RNA", at positions 15 to 266 of the family's 1533-position model. The record is from RNAcentral.
GAUCAUGGCUCAGGAUGAACGCUAGCUACAGGCUUAACACAUGCAAGUCGAGGGGCAUCAGGGUGUAGCAANACACCGCUGGCGACCGGCGCACGGGUGAGUAACACGUAUCCAACCUGCCCUUUACUCGGGGGAUAGCCUUUCGAAAGAAAGAUUAAUACCCGAUGGUAUAACAUGACCUCCUGGUUUUGUUAUUAAAGAAUUUCGGUAGAGGAUGGGGAUGCGUUCCAUUAGGCAGUUGGCGGGGUAACGGCCC